Peromyscus californicus insignis is the source of this 2214-nucleotide long non-coding RNA. RefSeq lists it as uncharacterized. The record is from RefSeq and is a predicted model, not a curated record. The transcript is spliced from 3 exons. NCBI's taxonomy places the organism in Eukaryota, Metazoa, Chordata, Mammalia, Rodentia, Cricetidae.
AAUGAGUGAGCGAAUGAAUGUAAAUACUCAUUUCAUUUUUGUUUUGUGUCAUCUUUUAAAUAUUUAUGUUUAUUUCAUGUAUAUGAGUGUUUUGCCUGCAUGUAUGUCUGUGUGCACCACAUGGGUACCUAAUGCCUUCAGAGGUCAGAAGAGAGUGUUGGAUCCCCUGGAACAGGAGUUACACAAUUGUGAGCUACUGUGUGGGUGUUGGGAACCCACCCCUAAUCCUCUUGUAAGAACGGUAUGCUGCUGCUCCUACCCACAGAGCCGUCUUUCCUUUCCUGUUUCUUUCCUUUGGUGUGGGGCAUGGUUUCCCAUAACCCAGACUAGCUUCAAACUUGCUAUGUACCUGAGAAUAAUCUUGAAGUAUUGAUUCUCUUGCCUCUAAUUCUCAAGUGCUGGGAUUACAGGUGUGAACCACCACACCGCAUUCAUUUAACUCUGGGAUUUCCACUUCUAAUGUACAUUCAGGGUCUCAUCCUCACAGGCUCUCAAAAGGGCAAAAAGGUAAAGGGGGGAACUUAGAGCCUACUGUGAUCUGCUUGAGCAAGCCAGUCAGGGCAGAUCACCUAUUAAAAACAGGAGAUAAUAUUACUUAAUCUCUACUGUUCUUUCCAGCUUGAAGAAAGCUUAAAGUUGUCAGUUAAGCUAAGAUUUUUCUGGGAACUUCUAAACACUUGAAGUUCUGCUUCUCUUGUCUUUUGACCAGCAAACCAUACCAUUUCGUCACCAGUGCCGCCUGCUGGUCAGAGCCAUCCGGUACAGAAGAGCAGCGAUCACCAACAGCGCAUUUGACAGUAUGAAUCCCCUUGGAGAGAGAAGAGCUGGAAGCAGAGAUCCAAUUACAAGAGGAAUAGAACAGCCCAGGGACCAGGGAAGAAAGCCUGGAUUAAUAGUGGUGACUGAAGGAAAGCUCCACAGGCUCCCCUGACUGACAGAGGGUCUUACUAUGUAGCCUUGGUUGGCCUGAAACUCACUACAUAGACAACGUGAGCCUCCAACUCAGAGAUCCACCUGCCUCUGGUCUCCAUGUGCUUGGAGUAAAAGCAUGUGCCAGCACAUCCAGCUUUUUGUUUUGUUUCAUUUUUUAAAUGAGUGUUUACCUGAAUGUCUUCGUACCAUAUGUAGUGUCCCUGGAAGACAGAAGAUAGUGUGGGAUCCCCUGGGACUGAGUUACAGACAGCUGUGAACCACCAUAUGGGUUCUGGGAAUUGAACCCAGGUCCUCUGGAAGAGGAGCCAGUGCUCUUAAACAUUAAGCCAUCUUUCCCCCACUUUAAGUUCUUGAGACAGCAUCUCACUAUGUAGCCCUGGCCAGCCUAGAGCUCAAGAGAUCUGCCUGCUUCUGCCUCCUGAGUGCUGGGAUUAAAGUCAUGUGACCAAUCACUGUAGAUCUGAGAACUUUCGACUGUGCCACUUCCAAACAAGACAUCUAGAAGUCAGUGUUGGAGUAGUUCUCAGUAACAUCGCUUGCAUAGUCUUUGGUGAUAUCUUCAUAUAAUUUUUAUCUGUGGUUGACAAGGCAUGCUUUAAAAAUUUUUAAGAAAAUAGAGAUGAAUUAUGAUAGACUAUCAAAACCAUGGCUUUUUUCUAAGGCUGUCACAGGAGCUUGGAUACAUCCCUUAAUCCACAGUAUAGGCAAUGUUAAUCUACUAAGAAGCUGUUUCAGAAAUCUCGCUUUGAGAGGACUGCAGAAAUGUCCCAGCUUUAGGGCAGCACUUCCCCCGCUAUCCCAUCAUAUACUUGAAACAUAUUCCUUUCUUUUAAAACCUAAUUAUUAUUGAAGAGUUUAAAUAAACAGUCUUACCAAACAGUUCAGGAUAGCCUCACACUCACUACACAGCCUUGAUCAGUCCUGAACUCAUAGAGAUCCUCCUGCCUCAGCCUCCAGAGUGCUGGGGUGAGAGGCAUGCACCACACAUCUUUUAAACGUAACAACUGUUAAUUAAAAGGUUCAGGUUGUUUUGAUUUUUAUAGCCUUACUAUGUACCCAGGCUGGCCUCAAACUUGCAUAAUCCUGCCUCAGCUGCCUACAUUAUGGGUGUGCUCCACAAACGUGGUUUUUGAAGGAAAUACUGUUCCAAGCUGGGAAGUCCGUCCUUCUUUGGCCCUCCCCACCUGCUGUACAACCUACAGCUCUCAAGCACCUUCAGAGCCCCGUGGAAAGCACUACCGUCUUCUGACCUCCAGUCCUACCCGGCCCUCCUGGCCCUCC